GAUGAACGCUGGCGGCGUGCCUAAUACAUGCAAGUCGAGCGAACAGACGAGGAGCUUGCUCCUCUGACGUUAGCGGCGGACGGGUGAGUAACACGUGGAUAACCUACCUAUAAGACUGGGAUAACUUCGGGAAACCGGAGCUAAUACCGGAUAAUAUAUUGAACCGCAUGGUUCAAUAGUGAAAUACGGUGUUUCGGUCACUUAUAGAUGGAUCCGCGCCGCAUUAGCUAGUUGGUAAGGUAACGGCUUACCAAGGCAACGAUGCGUAGCCGACCUGAGAGAGUGAUCGGCCACACUGGAACUGAGACACGGUCAAGACUCCUACGGGAGGCAGCAGUAGGGAAUCUUACGCAAUAGGCGAAAGCCUGACGGAGCAACGCCGCGUGAGUGAUGAAGGUCUUCGGAUCGUAAAACUCUGUUAUUAGGGAAGAACAAAUGUGUAAGUAACUAUGCACGUCUUGACGGUACCUAAUCAGAAAGCAACGGCUAACUACGUG
RNAcentral lists this ribosomal RNA (497 nucleotides) under uncultured bacterium. RNAcentral describes it as "partial 16S ribosomal RNA". It matches the Rfam family "Bacterial small subunit ribosomal RNA", at positions 28 to 507 of the family's 1533-position model. The record is from RNAcentral.